This 127-nucleotide small nucleolar RNA is filed under the name Microtus ochrogaster (prairie vole). RNAcentral describes it as "Small nucleolar RNA SNORA40 (ENSMOCG00000007965.1)". It matches the Rfam family "Small nucleolar RNA SNORA40". Rfam says of the family: The snoRNA ACA 40 belongs to the H/ACA family of snoRNAs and guides the pseudouridylation of 28S rRNA subunit at position U4565. NB This family has a high threshold value to exclude a large number of closely related sequences that do not appear to have conserved H and ACA boxes, and may be pseudogenes. Lineage: Eukaryota; Metazoa; Chordata; Mammalia; Rodentia; Cricetidae. The record is from RNAcentral.
AUCUCUUGGUAGCACUUUUCAUUCAACUAGUGGACAAAGGCAAAGAGACAGGUAUAAAAAUCAAUCCUUUUUCACAACCUAGAACCCAUUGUUCAUAUGAGUUUUGAUACAUAUAAAAAGGAAUAUG